This 253-nucleotide ribosomal RNA is filed under the name uncultured bacterium. RNAcentral's name for it is "partial 16S ribosomal RNA". It matches the Rfam family "Bacterial small subunit ribosomal RNA", at positions 524 to 776 of the family's 1533-position model. The record is from RNAcentral.
GACAGAGGGGGCAAGCGUUGCUCGGAAUCACUGGGCGUAAAGGGCGCGUAGGCGGGGGGGCAAGUCAGUCGUGAAAUCCUUCGGCUCAACCGAAGAAUGUCGGCUGAUACUGCCUCUCUUGAGGGAUGCAGAGGAGACUGGAAUUCCCGGUGUAGCGGUGAAAUGUGUAGAGAUCGGGAGGAACACUGGUGGCGAAGGCGGGUCUCUGGGCAUCUCCUGACGCUGAGGCGCGAAAGCGUGGGGAGCAAACGGG